UACGUAGGGGGCAAGCGUUGUCCGGAUUUAUUGGGCGUAAAGAGCUCGUAGGCGGUUUGGUAAGUCUGGUGUGAAAUCUCCACGCUCAACGUGGAGGGGCCACCCGAUACUGCCAUGACUGGAGUCCGGUAGAGGAGUGUGGAAUUCCCGGUGUAGCGGUGAAAUGCGCAGAUAUCGGGAGGAACACCCGUAGCGAAGGCGGCACUCUGGGCCGGUACUGACGCUGAGGAGCGAAAGCUGGGGGAGCAAACGGG
RNAcentral lists this ribosomal RNA (254 nucleotides) under uncultured bacterium. RNAcentral describes it as "partial 16S ribosomal RNA". It matches the Rfam family "Bacterial small subunit ribosomal RNA", at positions 524 to 776 of the family's 1533-position model. The record is from RNAcentral.